RNAcentral lists this unclassified non-coding RNA (210 nucleotides) under Hevea brasiliensis (rubber tree). The record is from RNAcentral. Lineage: Eukaryota; Viridiplantae; Streptophyta; Magnoliopsida; Malpighiales; Euphorbiaceae.
GAAGGCAUCUUUAGGAUUCCAUUUUGCUAUGUUUUCUAUGGUUUGUCAGGGUGAGUUAGGGCUCUCUCCCUCCCAUCUGGUGUGUUCAUAGGAUGAUUUUGUAGGUUUUUAGUAGCAAAUCUUCGAUCAUACAUGUAGAGGGUAAUUUAGUGUAGAUCUAUUAGGAGGAAGCUACUGAUUGAAACUUGGCUUGGGUUUGUGGUUUCCUUG